This 626-nucleotide ribosomal RNA is filed under the name Eutypella sp. 1 DACA-2015. RNAcentral's name for it is "eukaryotic LSU rRNA". It matches the Rfam family "Eukaryotic large subunit ribosomal RNA", at positions 23 to 667 of the family's 3401-position model. The record is from RNAcentral. Lineage: Eukaryota; Fungi; Ascomycota; Sordariomycetes; Xylariales; Diatrypaceae.
ACCCGCUGAACUUAAGCAUAUCAAUAAGCGGAGGAAAAGAAACCAACCGGGAUUGCCCUAGUAACGGCCAGGGAAGCCGCCACAGCUCAAAUUUGAAAUCCGGCCCUAGGGGGCCCAAUUGUUAUUUGGAGAGGAUGCUUUGGGCGCGGUGCCCUCCGAGUUCCUUGGAACAGGACCCCUUAGAGGGUGAGAGCCCCGUACGGUUGGAAACCAAGCCUAUGUAAAGCUCCUUCGACGAGUCGAGGAGUUUUGGGAAUGCUGCUCUAAAUGGGAGGUAAAUUUCUUCUUAAAGCUAAAUACCGGCCAGAGACCGAUAGCGCACAAGUAGAGUGAUCGAAAGAUGAAAAGUACUUUGAAAAGAGGGUUAAAUAGCACGUGAAAUUGUUGAAAGGGAAGCAUUUAUGACCAGACCUUUGCUAGGUGGAUCAUCCGGUGUUCUUCACCGGUGCACUUCGCCUAGCUUAGGCCAGCAUCGAUUUCGUGUAGGGGGAUAAAGGUUUAGGGAACGUAGCUCUCUUGGGAGAGUGUUAUAGCCCUGGGGGUAAUACCCUUACGGGGAUCGAGGUUCGGGCUCGCGGCAAGGAUGCUGGUAAUGUUCAUCAAUGACCCGUCUUGAAACACGGACC